UUCCGAUGGUGAACCUGCGGAGGGAUCAUUACACAAAUAUGAAGGCGGGCUGGAACCUCUCGGGGUUACAGCCUUGCUGAAUUAUUCACCCUUGUCUUUUGCGUACUUCUUGUUUCCUUGGUGGGUUCGCCCACCACUAGGACAAACAUAAACCUUUUGUAAUUGCAAUCAGCGUCAGUAACAAAUUAAUAAUUACAACUUUCAACAACGGAUCUCUUGGUUCUGGCAUCGAUGAAGAACGCAGCGAAAUGCGAUAAGUAGUGUGAAUUGCAGAAUUCAGUGAAUCAUCGAAUCUUUGAACGCACAUUGCGCCCUUUGGUAUUCCAAAGGGCAUGCCUGUUCGAGCGUCAUUUGUACCCUCAAGCUUUGCUUGGUGUUGGGCGUCUUGUCUCUAGCUUUGCUGGAGACUCGCCUUAAAGUAAUUGGCAGCCGGCCUACUGGUUUCGGAGCGCAGCACAAGUCGCACUCUCUAUCAGCAAAGGUCUAGCAUCCAUUAAGCCUUUUUUUCAACUUUUGACCUCGGAUCAGGUAGGGAUACCCGCUGAACUUAAGCAUAUCAAUAAGCGGAGGA
This 571-nucleotide ribosomal RNA is filed under the name fungal endophyte. RNAcentral's name for it is "eukaryotic LSU rRNA". The stretch from base 197 to 350 matches the Rfam family "5.8S ribosomal RNA". The record is from RNAcentral. Lineage: Eukaryota; Fungi.